UGUUACAAGUGCUGAAAUUUUGGGACUUAGCUGUUACUGUAGCAUAACCUAGUCUACUAUGACUGGUGUGGGUAUAUGUAUUUGCAAAUGUUUACUGAUGUUUUAUUGAUUUGCCAGUUACCUUUUCUACCUCAAUAUGUGGGUUUUAAUAAACUCUGUACUAUGGUAAUUAUUUUAAUUUAUUCAUUUUCCCUAUAUGGACUAUAAGAGUUUCAUGUACAAUCAAGUAUACCUAGAAGAUAAUAGUUGUUAAUAGAGAAAAAUGAAUUUAAAUUGGUGUAAAAGUAAAGGGAAUUUAUUAGCUGUGAAACUGAAAAUUUAAAUGUAGAUCAUGCUUCAGGCAUAGUUUGAUCAGCAGUCUGGUUCCAGUUCUUCAUUGUUGCUCUUGGCACUUCUUAGCUCUGUGUUUUGGCUUCCCUUUCAGACUGUUGCAAAAUGUUUUACUAUAUGUGGUCUUACUCAUAUUCAGUUGGAGAGAGAAGGCUUCUUUUCUCUUAAAACGUUGAAAAAAUAAUGAUCUUUUCUUUAAUUGGACUGACUUAAUCAAUAUGUCAGCUCUGAAGACACUCUUGUGGCUAGAAGAAUGAACAGAUUAGCUCUGACCUGGGAAAUGUGCCCGUCCCUGAAACCAAACCAGAGCCCAUCCCUGGAACUUGGAAGGAUGUUAUAUUACUAUGAGACAGCGAGAUGAUUGUUUUAGUCAGCUUUUGUGUUGCUGUAACCAAAAUAUCCUACAAGAACAACAUAGAGGAGGAAAAGUUUACGGAGCUUAUGGUUUCAGAGAUCUCAGUUCAUGGAUGGCUAACUCCAUUGCUUUGGGCCCAAGGUGAGACAGCACAUCAUGGCAGAAGGGCCCAGCAGAGGAAAGCUUCUCAUCUUGUGGUGGGUCAGGAAGCAGAGAGAGGGGAAUGGAGAAAGAGAUAACAGGGAAGAUGAACCCUUCCAGGGCACAUCUUCACUGUGACCCUCUAGCCAUGCCCCAGCUGCCUGUAGUCACCACUCAGUCCAUUCAAAGUAGGAUGGACUGAUUGGUCACAGCUGUCAUAAUCCAAUCGCUUCACCUUCAAACAUUUCUGUAUUAAUACAGGAGCUUUUGGUCCAAAGCAUUCUAUAACAGAUAAAUCCAACAUUCUCUCUGGCUUUACCUAAUAAACAUUUAUUUCUUAGUCAUGUCAUUAAUCUUAAUGAUUGGCUAACUUCCAGGAGGAUUUUUAGAGAUCUUGAAUUUCUAUAUCUUAGAGUUCCUUUGUCUUCAACACAGGGUUCCAAAACUGUUGCAAAAUGGGAAAGAUCUUGGGGAAGACCAUCCACUCCUUAACUACUUUAGCUCAGAAAUGACACACAUCAUUUUUGCUCACAUCAUUGGUAGGAACUAGUCAUGUGACUCCUUUAGUUCAAGAGAAGUGUGAAGUGUGAGGUGAUCCCUUGGCUGGGCAUAUCCUUCCCAGUGUGCACUCCACACCCUGGAAGGGGGCAUGGAUCUUUGGGGUCAGC
This 1494-nucleotide long non-coding RNA is filed under the name Marmota monax (woodchuck). Lineage: Eukaryota; Metazoa; Chordata; Mammalia; Rodentia; Sciuridae. The record is from RNAcentral.